Molecule: small RNA, 486 nt
Filed under: Arabidopsis thaliana (thale cress)
Lineage: Eukaryota; Viridiplantae; Streptophyta; Magnoliopsida; Brassicales; Brassicaceae
Description: putative long intergenic non-coding RNA
Source: RNAcentral
GUGGCAAGAUCCUUGCAGAGUUCUCCAACAGCAUAGAGCUUGGGAAGCUCGGACAAAAACACAUGUUCCUUCAACUUUCUCAAACUUUCUCGAACUUUCUCCCCCACCUUAUGCUUCCACCAUCUUUGACGAAUAUGACAGCACUCACGGAAAACAUCUUUAAAGUUUAUCGCUCAACACUUCUCUCGCUCUGAAAUUAUGUCUACCCCUUAGGAAUUCUCACAAUAGAGUUUAUUGAUGGAAAGAUAUCUUCCUCUUGGAUCGCCAGAUCGGACAUGCCCAGUGGAGACGUUGACACCGCACAUGGAAUCUUUCCUCUUGGACACGAUUUUCUAUACCGAAAAAGAUACGACUUCUUGCUUCGCCAUACCCUUGGAACAUGUUCUUUGCUUCCUACCGCCAAACUUAAUUGCAUCUAAGAUAGAAUCUUCGAAAAAAUCUCUACACCAUUUGUUGUUUAGCCGCCGCUCUCACUUUCCAUUUUGG